GUGAAUCAUCGAAUCUUUGAACGCAAAUUGCACUCCCUGGUAUUCCGGGGAGUAUGCCUGUUUGAGGGUCGUUAGAAUAAAAAAUCGAGGUGUCGCUCUUUUUUUGUGGUUGAUCGCGUCGGAAGUGUGCCGUCUUUCUAAUGUUAAUGCAUGUCAAUGUGGCUUGAAAUUUAUUCAUCCGGUACGAUUAAAACGUAUUUAAGAUCAAUUUUGU
This 214-nucleotide unclassified non-coding RNA is filed under the name Funneliformis mosseae. Its description in RNAcentral is "partial contains 5.8S ribosomal RNA and internal transcribed spacer 2". The stretch from base 1 to 71 matches the Rfam family "5.8S ribosomal RNA", at positions 84 to 154 of the family's 154-position model. The record is from RNAcentral. Lineage: Eukaryota; Fungi; Glomeromycota; Glomeromycetes; Glomerales; Glomeraceae.